CACGUAGGCGGCAUUGCAAGUCGGAUGUGAAAUCCCUCGGCUUAACCAAGGAAGUGCAUCCGAAACUGCUAUGCUUGAGUACGAAAGAGGAUCGCGGAAUUCCCGGUGUAGAGGUGAAAUUCGUAGAUAUCGGGAGGAACACCAGUGGCGAAGGCGGCGAUCUGGGUCGAUACUGACGCUGAGGUGCGAAAGCGUGGGAGCAAACA
Molecule: ribosomal RNA, 206 nt
Filed under: uncultured bacterium
Lineage: Bacteria
Description: partial 16S ribosomal RNA
Rfam family: Bacterial small subunit ribosomal RNA
Source: RNAcentral